CAACUAACAAGAAGCAGUAUCUGUAUCCAUAUAUACACAAAAAACAACACCAAUUUUGAACCAGCUAGCUAGCUAGCCAUCUUAUACAAUGAAUUCCCGAAAGAUGACCAUUCAGAAUGUUCUUGCCCCCACAACAAGGCCACCCCCUAAGAGUAGUAACUCCAAACCCCCCAGCACUGGAGGGAUAACCAUUCAGAAGGUUCUUGCCCCUACAACAAGGCCACCUCCUAAGGGUAGUAACUCCAAACCUCCAACCUCUGGGACCAAGUUGCCCACAAUCCAAAAGGUUUUUUACUAGGAGAUGAUUCUACCAUGUUUGUUACAUGACUGAUUGAUGUAUAAUGAAGUUGGAAUUAGGAGCUUUGUUGGAGGUGAAAAGGAUGAAAGUAGUGUACAAUCUAGGGAUCGGAGAACAAAUCAGCUCAGCCAGUGCAUUUGUUAAUUUAUUGUAUUUGUUAAUUUAUUGUAUUUGUUUAAUUUAUUGAUCACGAAGAAAUGUCAUGUACGAAAAAAUAUAAUGUUAAGCAUUUUAUAUGAUA
This is a long non-coding RNA of Glycine soja, 539 nucleotides long. RefSeq lists it as uncharacterized. The record is from RefSeq and is a predicted model, not a curated record. The transcript is spliced from 2 exons. NCBI's taxonomy places the organism in Eukaryota, Viridiplantae, Streptophyta, Magnoliopsida, Fabales, Fabaceae.